GACGUACGGGUGCUAUAAUGCAGUCGAACGCUUUUUCUUUCACCGGAGCUUGCUCCACCGAAAGAAAAAGAGUGGCGAACGGGUGAGUAACACGUGGGUAACCUGCCCAUCAGAAGGGGAUAACACUUGGAAACAGGUGCUAAUACCGUAUAACACUAUUUUCCGCAUGGAAGAAAGUUGAAAGGCGCUUUUGCGUCACUGAUGGAUGGACCCGCGGUGCAUUAGCUAGUUGGUGAGGUAACGGCUCACCAAGGCCACGAUGCAUAGCCGACCUGAGAGGGUGAUCGGCCACACUGGGACUGAGACACGGCCCAGACUCCUACGGGAGGCAGCAGUAGGGAAUCUUCGGCAAUGGACGAAAGUCUGACCGAGCAACGCCGCGUGAGUGAAGAAGGUUUUCGGAUCGUAAAACUCUGUUGUUAGAGAAGAACAAGGAUGAGAGUAGAACGUUCAUCCCUUGACGGUAUCUAACCAGAAAGCCACGGCUAACUACGUGCCAGCAGCCGCGGUAAUACGUAGGUGGCAAGCGUUGUCCGGAUUUAUUGGGCGUAAAGCGAGCGCAGGCGGUUUCUUAAGUCUGAUGUGAAAGCCCCCGGCUCA
Molecule: ribosomal RNA, 600 nt
Filed under: Enterococcus casseliflavus
Lineage: Bacteria; Bacillati; Bacillota; Bacilli; Lactobacillales; Enterococcaceae
Description: bacterial SSU rRNA
Rfam family: Bacterial small subunit ribosomal RNA
Source: RNAcentral